GACGAACGCUGGCGGCGUGCUUAACACAUGCAAGUCGAACGGAAAGGCCCUGCUUUUGUGGGGUGCUCGAGUGGCGAACGGGUGAGUAACACGUGAGUAACCUGCCCUUGACUUUGGGAUAACUUCAGGAAACUGGGGCUAAUACCGGAUAGGAGCUCCUGCUGCAUGGUGGGGGUUGGAAAGUUUCGGCGGUUGGGGAUGGACUCGCGGCUUAUCAGCUUGUUGGUGGGGUAGUGGCUUACCAAGGCUUUGACGGGUAGCCGGCCUGAGAGGGUGACCGGCCACAUUGGGACUGAGAUACGGCCCAGACUCCUACGGGAGGCAGCAGUGGGGAAUAUUGCACAAUGGGCGGAAGCCUGAUGCAGCAACGCCGCGUGCGGGAUGAAGGCCUUCGGUUGUAAACCGCUUUCGCCUGUGACGAAGCGUGAGUGACGGUAAUGGGUAAAGAAGCACCGGCUAACUACGUG
Molecule: ribosomal RNA, 467 nt
Filed under: uncultured bacterium
Lineage: Bacteria
Description: partial 16S ribosomal RNA
Rfam family: Bacterial small subunit ribosomal RNA
Source: RNAcentral